Molecule: ribosomal RNA, 443 nt
Filed under: uncultured bacterium
Lineage: Bacteria
Description: partial 16S ribosomal RNA
Rfam family: Bacterial small subunit ribosomal RNA
Source: RNAcentral
CCUACGGGGUGCAGCAGUGGGGAAUAUUGGGCAAUGGGCGCAAGCCUGACCCAGCAACGCCGCGUGAAGGAAGAAGGCUUUCGGGUUGUAAACUUCUUUUGACAGGGAAGAGCAGAAGACGGUACCUGUCGAAUAAGCCACGGCUAACUACGUGCCAGCAGCCGCGGUAAUACGUAGGUGGCAAGCGUUGUUCGGAAUGAAUGGGCGUAAAGGGUGUGUAGGCGGUGUAGCAAGUUAGAAGUGAAAUACCUAGAGCUUAACUCAGGUGCUGCUUCUAAAACUGCUAUACUUGAGUGCAGUAGAGGAAAGUGGAAUUCCUAGUGUAGCGGUGGAAUGCGUAGAUAUUAGGAGGAACAUCAGUGGCGAAGGCGACUUUCUGGACUGUAACUGACGCUGAGGCACGAAAGUGUGGGGAGCAGACAGGAUUAGAUACCCCAGUAGUC